RNAcentral lists this ribosomal RNA (487 nucleotides) under uncultured bacterium. Its description in RNAcentral is "bacterial SSU rRNA". It matches the Rfam family "Bacterial small subunit ribosomal RNA", at positions 28 to 507 of the family's 1533-position model. The record is from RNAcentral.
GAUGAACGCUAGCGGGAGGCUUAACACAUGCAAGUCGAGGGGCAGCAUAGGGUAGCAAUACUCUGAUGGUGACCGGCAAACGGGUGAGUAACGCGUAUGCAACCUACCCUGUACAGGGGGAUAACCCGGAGAAAUUCGGACUAAUAUCCCGUAAUAAUAUCCGGAGGCAUCUUUGGAUAUUUAAAGUUCCGACGGUACGGGAUGGGCAUGCGUAACAUUAACUGGUUGGUAAGGUAACGGCUUACCAAGGCUAUGAUGUUUAGGGGUCCUGAGAGGGUGGUCCCCCACACUGGUACUGAGACACGGACCAGACUCCUACGGGAGGCAGCAGUGAGGAAUAUUGGUCAAUGGGCGCAAGCCUGAACCAGCCAUCCCGCGUGCAGGAAGACGGCCCUAUGGGUUGUAAACUGCUUUUCCAGGGAGAGAAACUUACGCACGUGUUGCGUGACUGACGGUACCCUGGGAAUAAGCAUCGGCUAACUCCGUG